RNAcentral lists this transfer RNA (74 nucleotides) under Rattus norvegicus (Norway rat). It matches the Rfam family "tRNA". From Rfam's summary of the family: Transfer RNA (tRNA) molecules are approximately 80 nucleotides in length. Their secondary structure includes four short double-helical elements and three loops (D, anti-codon, and T loops). The record is from Rfam by way of RNAcentral. Lineage: Eukaryota; Metazoa; Chordata; Mammalia; Rodentia; Muridae.
CUAGAGAUAUGCUCAGCGGUUAAGAGCACUGUCUAUUCUUCCAGAGGAUCUGGGUUCAAUUCCCAGUCCCCACA